CCUACGGGAGGCAGCAGUGGGGAAUAUUGGACAAUGGGCGAGAGCCUGAUCCAGUAAUGCCGCGUGAGUGAUGAAGGCCUUAGGGUUGUAAAGCUCUUUUACCCGGGAUGAUAAUGACAGUACCGGGAGAAUAAGCUCCGGCUAACUCCGUGCCAGCAGCCGCGGUAAU
Molecule: ribosomal RNA, 169 nt
Filed under: uncultured bacterium
Lineage: Bacteria
Description: partial 16S ribosomal RNA
Rfam family: Bacterial small subunit ribosomal RNA
Source: RNAcentral